UGUAUCCUAGGCAACCUCUUUCUAUCACCCUUCCUCCACCUUCCAGCAAACCUGUCCACCUCUACCUUGCCCCAAGGCCACUCCUCUUCUCAUUCUCUCCUCUUUAAUCAAAACUCUUUCCUUCAGGACUGCGAUGUUCUAUACAUGCUCAGAGAAAGGUAUCAUCAGUUUCCUCAUCAGCCAACUGAAAGAGUGAAUGAAAAGCUCCUCAAUGCACUAGAUACCCAAGAGGUCUUGAUAAACCUUCCUGAUUUCCCCCACUUGUCUCUAAAAGAAGUUCAAAGUGGAGACUUGAACCUUGAAACUUACCCAUGUAUCACGUUUGAUAUCCUGAAGAGAUACGGUCUUUUAAUAAAUAAAUAUGCCUUGCAUCAUCAAGUGCCUAGCAACUUUCAAAGCACUCAAGCAGUACACAAUGACAUACAUUUGAAGCAACUAAAAACAAGAGAGAACUUGAGAAAACUUCAACCCACUGGGAGGACCCAGAGCACCAGUCUCCCCUGUUGUCCUGGGAUAAUAAUCGACAGUGAUUUCUGCUGUCGUCUGUAGAGUCAUAGAGGGAAAAGGAGUCUCUCAAGUUAUCAGCCCGUCCCUCAUUUGGUGAGGACACAGCUGUUUCCUCAAGGUCAUGUUGAGCUGACAACAACUUAUCCAAUGCUGCAUGAUUUGGUGAUUCCUGAAGACAAGAGCAAGGGAGGUCAUGCAGAAUUGUGAGCUAAGCUGAGCUUGUAUCUCUUGCUCUCUCUACAUAAUAUACCUUUAACUGCUCAAACUA
Long non-coding RNA from Canis lupus familiaris (dog), 775 nucleotides. RefSeq lists it as uncharacterized. The transcript has 3 exons. Lineage: Eukaryota; Metazoa; Chordata; Mammalia; Carnivora; Canidae. The record is from RefSeq and is a predicted model, not a curated record.